ACACACACACACAAACACACAAAUAAAUAUUCAUACAAACAUAUCCGCACAAAAGGAGACCAAAUGCAAAAGAGCAAAGGCGGCGAGUCAGAGCUGCAGAGGAAGAAUCCCAAAGAAGCGAAAUCCUGAAUGUCACUUGUCAUCAUAUCGCAGCGAGCAAAGCGGGCCAGCGUGUCAAGAGGCAGACUGUCACUGAUUGGUGAGGCCCCAGUCGAGAGGUUUGGGGCGUCGGAGCAUCAGGUUUUGCAUACAGCUGGAUUCAAGUCUGGGGCAACGCCACUGACGGGCGUUAUGGAAAUGAGAUGCUUCCAGGCGCCUUGAGAUGAAGAUGUUUCUUUGAGCCUUCCUCCUCAUCACUGUAAUCAAGAGAAGACAUUUUCAACGCACACUGAUGGUCAAUGAGGUCACACACGCCGUGGUCACGGGUCACACUUGGUGUCCCUCUCUUGUGAUGAGGUCCUCGUGUUGGUGCAGUAUCUGUUUAACCCUCCUCCUCACAAGAAGAUGAUUGGGUUUACUGAGCGGCCCCACGCUGCAGUUCAUCAGGCUUCGCGUCCGGCCUCCGUCCUCG
Molecule: long non-coding RNA, 571 nt
Organism: Gasterosteus aculeatus aculeatus (three-spined stickleback)
Lineage: Eukaryota; Metazoa; Chordata; Actinopteri; Perciformes; Gasterosteidae
Source: Ensembl